Non-coding RNA from Arachis ipaensis, 558 nucleotides. NCBI's taxonomy places the organism in Eukaryota, Viridiplantae, Streptophyta, Magnoliopsida, Fabales, Fabaceae. The record is from RefSeq and is a predicted model, not a curated record.
UUCACUUGCAGCAAAUAUUGAAAAAUGCCCAGAUGGAAUUACUGCGGACCAUUGGAGAAAGUUUCUCGAUUAUCGCAAUAGCGAAGAGACACAGGAGAAGUGUAAGAAAAAUGCCGAGAAUCGAUCAAAGCAGCUUUACACCCACACCGGCGGAUCGAAAAGCUUGGCAAGGCUCGGAGAAGAAGAGUCGGAACGACAAGGGAGGAUAGUUAGUAGAGGAGAGUUGUAUCUCAUAACGCACAAAAGAACUAAUGGCUCCUAUAUCCAUGAUGCAGCUCGCGCUAUUGGAGUAAGUAAUGUGUUCAAUCCUAUGUUUUAGUUUUUAAAAUUUUAUUGGAAGUCUGUGCGGUUAGCGACUAGCUAAUAAAUGCUCUUAAUUGCUUAUCUAUGUGUGUAGGAAAGAAUUGAGGCUAUUGAGCAAGGCGAUGAAUCUUCUAGACUGUUAUCCCAAAAUGAUUUGCUUGCUCAAGCUCUCGGAAAAGAGCGCCCGGGUAGGGUGCGUGGCAUGGGGUUGGGGCCGACUUCUAGUCAAGUCUUCGGUAUGAAUUCCCAUCAGCC